CGGCCAGACUCCUACGGGAGGCAGCAGUGGGGAAUAUUGCACAAUGGGGGAAACCCUGAUGCAGCGACGCCGCGUGGGUGAAGAAGUACUUCGGUACGUAAAUCCCUAUCAGCAGGGAAGAAAAUGACGGUACCUGAUUAAGAAGCCCCGGCUAACUACGUGCCAGCAGCCGCGGUAAUACGUAGGUGGCAAGCGUUAUCCGGAUUUACUGGGUGUAAAGGGCGUGUAGGCGGGGACGCAAGUCAGAUGUGAAAACCACGGGCUCAACCUGUGGCCUGCAUUUGAAACUGUGUUUCUUGAGUACUGGAGAGGCAGACGGAAUUCCUAGUGUAGCGGUGAAAUGCGUAGAUAUUAGGAGGGACACCAGUGGCGAAGGCGGUCUGCUGGACGGCAACUGACGCUGAGGCGCGAAAGCGUGGGGAGCAAACAGGAUUAGAUACCCCCGUAC
RNAcentral lists this ribosomal RNA (448 nucleotides) under uncultured bacterium. Its description in RNAcentral is "bacterial SSU rRNA". It matches the Rfam family "Bacterial small subunit ribosomal RNA", at positions 328 to 793 of the family's 1533-position model. The record is from RNAcentral.